This 583-nucleotide ribosomal RNA is filed under the name uncultured Actinomycetes bacterium. Its description in RNAcentral is "bacterial SSU rRNA". It matches the Rfam family "Bacterial small subunit ribosomal RNA", at positions 89 to 685 of the family's 1533-position model. Lineage: Bacteria; Bacillati; Actinomycetota; Actinomycetes. The record is from RNAcentral.
ACUCGAGCGGCGAACGGGUGAGUAACACGUGAGUAAUCUGCCCUGCGCUCUGGGAUAGCCACCGGAAACGGUGAUUAAUACCGGAUAGGACCACUUCACGCAUGUGAUGGUGGUGGAAAGUUUUUUCGGCGCAGGAUGUGCUCGCGGCCUAUCAGCUUGUUGGUGAGGUAACGGCUCACCAAGGCUUUGACGGGUAACCGGCCUGAGAGGGUGACCGGUCACACUGGGACUGAGACACGGCCCAGACUCCUACGGGAGGCAGCAGUGGGGAAUAUUGGACAAUGGGCGGAAGCCUGAUCCAGCAACGCCGCGUGAGGGAUGACGGCCUUCGGGUUGUAAACCUCUUUCAGUACUGACGAAGCGAAAGUGACGGUAGGUACAGAAGAAGGACCGGCCAACUACGUGCCAGCAGCCGCGGUAAUACGUAGGGUCCGAGCGUUGUCCGGAAUUAUUGGGCGUAAAGGGCUCGUAGGCGGUUUGUCGCGUCGGGAGUGAAAACACCGGGCUUAACUCGGUGCUUGCUUUCGAUACGGGCAGACUAGAGGUAUGCAGGGGAGAAUGGAAUUCCUGGUGUAGCGGUGAA